GUAGGUGAACCUGCGGAAGGAUCAUUACAGAAUCGCGGCAGAGGGGCCCUAGAAAGCCCCCGAGCCAACGCAUUCUACCCUGUCUUUUGUAUACCCCUACCUCCUCCCCAGCCCUCGGGCUGGGACGGCUACCCACAAAAAACCUUGCAGUUUACAGUCAAUUCAGUUAUUUUCGCAACGAAAUUACAACUUUCAACAAUGGAUCUCUUGGCUCUG
This 216-nucleotide unclassified non-coding RNA is filed under the name rhizosphere metagenome. Its description in RNAcentral is "partial ribosomal RNA internal transcribed spacer region". The record is from RNAcentral.